UACGUAGGGUGCGAGCGUUGUCCGGAAUUAUUGGGCGUAAAGAGCUCGUAGGCGGUCUGUCGCGUCGGUCGUGAAAACCCGGAGCUCAACUCCGGGCCUGCAGUCGAUACGGGCAGACUGGAGUUCGGCAGGGGAGACUGGAAUUCCUGGUGUAGCGGUGAAAUGCGCAGAUAUCAGGAGGAACACCGGUGGCGAAGGCGGGUCUCUGGGCCGAUACUGACGCUGAGGAGCGAAAGCGUGGGGAGCGAACAGG
Molecule: ribosomal RNA, 253 nt
Filed under: uncultured bacterium
Lineage: Bacteria
Description: partial 16S ribosomal RNA
Rfam family: Bacterial small subunit ribosomal RNA
Source: RNAcentral